RNAcentral lists this ribosomal RNA (492 nucleotides) under uncultured bacterium. Its description in RNAcentral is "partial 16S ribosomal RNA". It matches the Rfam family "Bacterial small subunit ribosomal RNA", at positions 29 to 507 of the family's 1533-position model. The record is from RNAcentral.
AGUGAACGCUGGCGGUAGGCCUAACACAUGCAAGUCGAACGGCAGCACAGUAAGAGCUUGCUCUUACGGGUGGCGAGUGGCGGACGGGUGAGGAAUACAUCGGAAUCUACUUUUUCGUGGGGGAUAACGUAGGGAAACUUACGCUAAUACCGCAUACGACCUACGGGUGAAAGCAGAGGAUCUUCGGACCUUGCGCGAUUGAAUGAGCCGAUGUCGGAUUAGCUAGUUGGCGGGGUAAAGGCCCACCAAGGCGACGAUCCGUAGCUGGUCUGAGAGGAUGAUCAGCCACACUGGAACUGAGACACGGUCCAGACUCCUACGGGAGGCAGCAGUGGGGAAUAUUGGACAAUGGGCGCAAGCCUGAUCCAGCCAUACCGCGUGGGUGAAGAAGGCCUUCGGGUUGUAAAGCCCUUUUGUUGGGAAAGAAAAGCAGCAGGUUAAUACCCCGCUGUUCUGACGGUACCCAAAGAAUAAGCACCGCCUAACUUCGUG